RNAcentral lists this ribosomal RNA (233 nucleotides) under Staphylococcus aureus. Its description in RNAcentral is "partial 23S ribosomal RNA". It matches the Rfam family "Bacterial large subunit ribosomal RNA", at positions 1172 to 1410 of the family's 2925-position model. Lineage: Bacteria; Bacillati; Bacillota; Bacilli; Caryophanales; Staphylococcaceae. The record is from RNAcentral.
UAAUCGGGCAUCAAGCAAUUUACCGAAGCUAUGGGAUGUGUAAACAUCGGUAGGGGAGCAUUCCACUCCGCGUUGAAGGUGAAGCGUGAGCUUUUCUGGAGCGUGUGGAAAAGCAAAUGUAGGUAUAAGUAACGAUAAAGGGGGUGAGAAACCCCCUCGCCGAAAGACUAAGGUUUCCUGAUCAACGCUAAUCGGAUCAGGGUUAGUCGGGUCCUAAGGCUCAGCCGAACGGU